Molecule: non-coding RNA, 1480 nt
Organism: Sus scrofa (pig)
Lineage: Eukaryota; Metazoa; Chordata; Mammalia; Artiodactyla; Suidae
Source: RefSeq, a predicted model, not a curated record
GCAACCCAGAUUUCUGUUCGGCCAUGUUUUCAAGUCUCUAGCCAGACGGUAGAGCUGCCAGCACGAACCAAACACUUGUGUUUGUAGGUAGGCGAGAAGUCAGGCAAAGUUUCUAAGAUACAAGUGAGACAAACAAGAAGAAAAUAGUUUUCCCUGGGAGAAGGAGGAUCAACAACUUGCAGGCACCCAAAAAUCAUAGUCACGAGAGUCUGGGUUUGGAAAGAAAAGGACAACGUUACAUUUCACCUGCCUCUCUCAACAGGGCAACAUCAAGCUCUGGGAGAGCUGACUCUGGUUCGUGCUCCACCACUUGAUGUGUAGCUCUGAGCUUCAGGAAGCUGAUUUUUAAGCCAAUGUCAGUGUCUUGCCCUGUUCUUCAUUGGGUUCAGUCAUUUGGAUGCACUGGCAGCUCAGAGCUUGCAGAGAGAGAGGUCAGUGUAUCUCUCCUCACAGUUGGAUCCCUUACAAGCUGCUGUGAGGUGGCGCUCCUGUUCUUCACCCAAGACUACCAGCCCUCUUCUGCUCCAGUUGUAACCCAUUCAUCCAGCCCCUUCACCUCAGGGCAAGAAUGCAUGUUGUCAUAUGGUGGAAGGUAUCUAAGACUGCAGUGUCUUAAAAGAACUUCACCCAGACCCCCAGGGAAAGAAAAUAACAGGUAGAGUACCAUCAGGAAAAGGAGCAAAGCAGUGAUCACAGGAAUAUAGCUUGGACUGGACAGCACUCAUCAGAAAGAAAAAGCUUCAGUGGGAUGGAUACACCCAAGAAAACUAGAAAUGAAACCCAUGAAAGAACUGGCAUUUGGAGGCUAGAAAUAGCAAAGGAUACUCAGCAGCCAAAGGGCAACUACAAUGAACAUCAAAUAAAAAGAACUUUGCCCUCUUUUUCUCACGGCAUCCUCUUCACCAUCAUCAGAAUUCCCUGAUCCUGAGACACCAAAAGAGAGCAUGACAAAUGAGUGGAAAUUAAGGAAAAACAAACAAACAAAAAAGGCAUUAUCCCCUUGCACUUCACAGGGUUCAGGCUAUCAGAUGCUGAUUCAGUCUGAGCUGGGCUUGAGGGAGAAAUUUUAGGCUAUAUGUGAACAUGAAGUUUUAAUUAGUCUAGAAAUUUAAAUAUCUGAAAAUGUCAAAAAUGCAGAUCACUACCUGAAAUACUCUCCAAUUUUGUAAAAAGAGAAUCUAAGGGAAUUCAUCUGAAAGCCAGAGCAGAAAAAGAGACAGAGAGAGAGAGGGAGAAGGAGAGGAAGAGGAAGGAGAAGAGAGAGGGAAACAAUUUACGAUUUGCAAUGUAAGAGAUUCAGUGUUUUCGACAGUUGCUUGAGGAUGUAUAUACGAUUAUGUGUGCAACUUUAUGAGUUAUACCCCAUUGCAAUCCCUGCUGCCUUCUGAUAGCUGCUUUGUUAUUGCUAUGUAAAUAGUUGUAAUUAAUAAAGGAAAAAAUAUAUUUACCUUUGUAAAUUAUCAACAUUUUUGUACCUUAA